UACGUAGGGGGCGAGCGUUGUCCGGAUUUAUUGGGCGUAAAGAGCUCGUAGGCGGUUUGGUAAGUCGGGUGUGAAAUCUCCACGCUCAACGUGGAGGGGCCACUCGAUACUGCCAUGACUCGAGUCCGGUAGAGGAGUGUGGAAUUCCCGGUGUAGCGGUGAAAUGCGCAGAUAUCAGGAAGAACACCUAUGGCGAAGGCAGCUCUCUGGGACGGUACUGACGCUGAGACGCGAAAGCGUGGGGAGCGAACAGG
RNAcentral lists this ribosomal RNA (254 nucleotides) under uncultured bacterium. RNAcentral's name for it is "partial 16S ribosomal RNA". It matches the Rfam family "Bacterial small subunit ribosomal RNA", at positions 524 to 776 of the family's 1533-position model. The record is from RNAcentral.